Molecule: ribosomal RNA, 497 nt
Filed under: uncultured bacterium
Lineage: Bacteria
Description: partial 16S ribosomal RNA
Rfam family: Bacterial small subunit ribosomal RNA
Source: RNAcentral
GAUGAACGAUGGCGGCGUGCCUAAUACAUGCAAGUCGAGCGAACGGACGAGAAGCUUGCUUCUCUGAUGUUAGCGGCGGACGGGUGAGUAACACGUGGAUAACCUACCUAUAAGACUGGGAUAACUUCGGGAAACCGGAGCUAAUACCGGAUAAUAUUUUGAACCGCAUGGUUCAAAAGUGAAAGACGGUCUUGCUGUCACUUAUAGAUGGAUCCGCGCUGCAUUAGCUAGUUGGUAAGGUAACGGCUUACCAAGGCAACGAUGCAUAGCCGACCUGAGAGGGUGAUCGGCCACACUGGAACUGAGGCACGGUCCAGACUCCUACGGGAGGCAGCAGUAGGGAAUCUUCCGCAAUGGGCGAAAGCCUGACGGAGCAACGCCGCGUGAGUGAUGAAGGUCUUCGGAUCGUAAAACUCUGUUAUUAGGGAAGAACAUAUGUGUAAGUAACUGUGCACAUCUUGACGGUACCUAAUCAGAAAGCCACGGCUAACUACGUG